GGGGCACAUGCGCGGUCUACACAUGCAGUCGAGGGACGAACCGAGUGCUUGCACUCGGGGAGACCGGCGAACGGGUGAGUAACACGUGAGGAACCUGUCCGGUACACCGGGAUAACCGCGGGAAACCGUGGCUAAUACCGGAUGCACCACCGUGACCGCAUGGUCGUGGUGGGAAAGCUCAGGCGGUACCGGAGGGCCUCGCGGCGUAUCAGCUAGUUGGUGGGGUAACGGCCCACCAAGGCUUCGACGCGUAGCUGGAGUGAGAGCUCGAACAGCCACACUGGGACUGAGACACGGCCCAGACUCCUACGGGAGGCAGCAGUGGAGAAUCUUGCGCAAUGGGCGAAAGCCUGACGCAGCCACGCCGCGUGCGGGAAGACUGCCCUAUGGGUUGUAAACUGCUUUUCUACGCCAAGAAAGGUUUCUACGGGUAGGGAUUUGCCGGUAGCGUAGGAAUAAGCAUCGGCUAACUCCGUGCCAGCAGCCGCGGUAAUACGUAGGGUGCAAGCGUUGUUCGGAAUCACUGGGCGUAAAGGGCGUGUAGGCGGAGUGAUUAGCGAGGGGUGAAAUCCCGGGGCUCAACCCCGGAACUGCUUUUCGAACUGUCACUCUAGAGAAGGUCAGGGGCCGGCGGAAUUCCUGGUGUAGAGGUGAAAUUCGUAGAUAUCAGGAGGAACAUCGGAGGCGAAGGCGGCCGGCUGGGGCCAUUCUGACGCUGAGGCGCGAAAGCGUGGGGAGCGAACAGGAUUAGAUACCCUGGUAGUCCACGCCGUAAACGGUGGGAACUAGAUGUGGGGUCCGUUCC
Molecule: ribosomal RNA, 805 nt
Filed under: uncultured bacterium
Lineage: Bacteria
Description: bacterial SSU rRNA
Rfam family: Bacterial small subunit ribosomal RNA
Source: RNAcentral